UAACACGUGAGCAACCUGCCUUUCAGAGGGGGAUAACAGUUGGAAACGACUGCUAAUACCGCAUAACGCUGCGAUGGGGCAUCCCGAUGCAGCCAAAGGAGCAAUCCGCUGAAAGAUGGGCUCGCGGCCGAUUAGCUAGUUGGUGGGGCAACGGCCCACCAAGGCGACGAUCGGUAGCCGGACUGAGAGGUUGAUCGGCCACAUUGGGACUGAGACGCGGCCCAGACUCCUACGGGAGGCAGCAGUGGGGGAUAUUGCACAAUGGAGGAAACUCUGAUGCAGCGACGCCGCGUGAGGGAAGACGGUCUUCGGAUUGUAAACCUCUGUCUUUGGGGAAGAAAAUGACGGUACCCAAAGAGGAAGCUCCGGCUAACUACGUGCCAGCAGCCGCGGUAAUACGUAGGGAGCGAGCGUUGUCCGGAAUUACUGGGUGUAAAGGGAGCGUAGGCGGGCGAGAAAGUUGAAUGUUAAAUCUACCGGCUUAACUGGUAGCUGCGUUCAAAACUUCUUGUCUUGAGUGAAGUAGAGGCAGGCGGAAUUCCUAGUGUAGCGGUGAAAUGCGUAGAUAUUAGGAGGAACACCAGUGGCGAAGGCGGCCUGCUGGGCUUUAACUGACGCUGAGGCUCGAAAGCGUGGGGAGCAAACAGGAUUAGAUACCCUGGUAGU
This 666-nucleotide ribosomal RNA is filed under the name uncultured bacterium. Its description in RNAcentral is "bacterial SSU rRNA". It matches the Rfam family "Bacterial small subunit ribosomal RNA", at positions 111 to 794 of the family's 1533-position model. The record is from RNAcentral.